GCCCUAGUAGCUCAGUUUCAGAGCGCCGGUCUUGUAAUCCGGAGGUCUGAGGUUAAAUUCCUCCCUAGUGCU
This 72-nucleotide transfer RNA is filed under the name Anotopterus pharao (daggertooth). RNAcentral's name for it is "tRNA-Thr". It matches the Rfam family "tRNA". Rfam says of the family: Transfer RNA (tRNA) molecules are approximately 80 nucleotides in length. Their secondary structure includes four short double-helical elements and three loops (D, anti-codon, and T loops). Further hydrogen bonds mediate the characteristic L-shaped molecular structure. tRNAs have two regions of fundamental functional importance: the anti-codon, which is responsible for specific mRNA codon recognition, and the 3' end, to which the tRNAs corresponding amino acid is attached (by aminoacyl-tRNA synthetases). tRNAs cope with the degeneracy of the genetic code in two manners: having more than one tRNA (with a specific anti-codon) for a particular amino acid; and 'wobble' base-pairing, i.e. permitting non-standard base-pairing at the 3rd anti-codon position. The record is from RNAcentral. Lineage: Eukaryota; Metazoa; Chordata; Actinopteri; Aulopiformes; Alepisauridae.